RNAcentral lists this transfer RNA (76 nucleotides) under Gammaproteobacteria bacterium. RNAcentral's name for it is "tRNA-Gly". The record is from RNAcentral. Lineage: Bacteria; Pseudomonadati; Pseudomonadota; Gammaproteobacteria.
GCGGGCAUAGCUCAAUUGGUAGAGCACGACGGCGCCACCGUCGGGGCUGUGGACUCAGAAUCCACUGCCCGCACCA